This 502-nucleotide ribosomal RNA is filed under the name uncultured Diversispora. RNAcentral describes it as "SSU rRNA". It matches the Rfam family "Eukaryotic small subunit ribosomal RNA", at positions 591 to 1092 of the family's 1831-position model. The record is from RNAcentral. Lineage: Eukaryota; Fungi; Glomeromycota; Glomeromycetes; Diversisporales; Diversisporaceae.
CCAAUAGCGUAUAUUAAAGUUGUUGCAGUUAAAAAGCUCGUAGUUGAACUUCGGGGUCUACCCAUUGGUCAGGCUUAAUUGUCUGUACUGGUGAGAUGGAUCUCUACCUUCUGAGGAACUUUCAUGCCAUUUAUUUGGUGUGGUUGGAAAUCAGGACUGUUACUUUGAAAAAAUUAGAGUGUUUAAAGCAGACUAUCGUCUGAAUACAUUAGCAUGGAAUAAUGAAAUAGGACGGACUGAUUCUAUUUCGUUGGUUUCUAGGAUCACCGUAAUGAUUAAUAGGGAUAGUUGGGGGCAUUAGUAUUCAAUUGUCAGAGGUAAAAUUCUUGGAUUUAUUGAAGACUAACUACUGCGAAAGCAUUUGCCAAGGAUGUUGUCAUUAAUCAAGAACGAAAGUUAGGGGAUCGAAGACGAUCAGAUACCGUCGUAGUCUUAACCAUAAACUAUGCCGACUAGGAAUCAGACAAAGUUCAUUUUUUAACGACUUGUUUGGUACCUUACG